UACAGAGGGUGCGAGCGUUGUCCGGAAUUACUGGGCGUAAAGCGUAUGUAGGCGGAUCGUUAAGUCGGGGGUGAAAUCCCGAGGCUCAACCUCGGAACUGCCUUCGAUACUGGCGAUCUUCGAGUCCGGGAGAGGUGAGUGGAACUCCGAGUGUAGAGGUGAAAUUCGUAGACAUUCGGAAGAACACCAGUGGCGAAGGCGGCUACCUGGACCGGUUCUGACGCUGAGGCGCGAAAGCGUGGGUAGCAAACAGG
This 254-nucleotide ribosomal RNA is filed under the name uncultured bacterium. RNAcentral describes it as "partial 16S ribosomal RNA". It matches the Rfam family "Bacterial small subunit ribosomal RNA", at positions 524 to 776 of the family's 1533-position model. The record is from RNAcentral.